UAGGUGUGUGUGUCGGGAUCGAACUAAAGGGGAGAAACAAGGGGAAGCCCUUGUUUUCAAAGAACCCAAGAAAUUGAAGGGGAAUCUCAUUGCAAAUCAAGUGCAUGAAGUCAAAUUCUGUAUAAUCUAAGCUUUCUAAACAAACGCGAUAAAGGAAGAAAGUUCAAGUCACACGAAGCAAGAAGGAAAUCACGACCGAGAUGAGAAUGGACGAAAUCUUGGUGUGAUAAAACUAGUAAAGUUAGUGAAAAGAUGCACACGAGUGGAAGCUCAUCACAUGGAUGGACGAGGUCAAUCUAGUUUUUGACACUUGCUCAUGAAGGGGCGGGCUGAACCAGGAUACGGAUCGUUGUUUAUGAAAAUAAUAAGGUUAGUAAAGUAUUUGACUUGUGAAUGAUAAAUAGAAAGUUAUAGACGGAAUAAUGUUUCUAUACGAACUAAAAUGAAAUAUUUAAUAUGGUCAUACAGUUGAUCCGGUAGAAGCGGGUCAACGAACUAGAAUGAAAUGCUUAAUAUGGUCAUACAAUUGAUCCGGUACGAACCGGUCAAAGAAUAAGAAUGUUAUGUUUAGAAUGAA
Helianthus annuus (common sunflower) is the source of this 577-nucleotide long non-coding RNA. RefSeq lists it as uncharacterized. The record is from RefSeq and is a predicted model, not a curated record. The transcript has 3 exons. NCBI's taxonomy places the organism in Eukaryota, Viridiplantae, Streptophyta, Magnoliopsida, Asterales, Asteraceae.